UACAGAGGUCCCGAGCGUUGUUCGGAUUUAUUGGGCGUAAAGGGUGCGUAGGCGGCGGAGUAAGUUGGGUGUGAAAUCCCGGGGCUCAACCUCGGAAUGGCAUUCAAUACUGCUUCGCUAGAGUACUGGAGAGGAGGCUGGAAUUUACGGUGUAGCAGUGAAAUGCGUAGAGAUCGGGAGGAACAUCAGUUGCGAAGGCGGCUCUCUGGACCAGCACUGACACUGAGGCACGAAAGCGUAGGGAGCAAACAGG
RNAcentral lists this ribosomal RNA (253 nucleotides) under uncultured bacterium. Its description in RNAcentral is "partial 16S ribosomal RNA". It matches the Rfam family "Bacterial small subunit ribosomal RNA", at positions 524 to 776 of the family's 1533-position model. The record is from RNAcentral.